Molecule: long non-coding RNA, 1170 nt
Organism: Hyaena hyaena (striped hyena)
Lineage: Eukaryota; Metazoa; Chordata; Mammalia; Carnivora; Hyaenidae
Exons: 3
Source: RefSeq, a predicted model, not a curated record
AAAGCAAGAUACAAUCCAUAAAUGAAGAAAAAUUUAUAGGUUGGACUUCAUCAAAAUGGUGAACUGCUGCCCUUUAAAAGACAUAGGAAGAGAAUGAAAAGGCAAACACAGACUGGGAGAAAAUAUUUGCAACCAGGAGUGUUUUGAGUAGGUGGCGAAGAGGGUGAAGCAGUAUCUUGGGAAGGCGUCACCUACCGCAGGCUGUGGGAUGAUUAGGUGCGAGAAGACGCAACAUCCGUGGCAGGAGGUGUGACCCAGAGCCCACGCGGUGUGGAGCGCUGGGGAGGAGCCAGGCAGCUGUGUGGACCCCCGAGCCCCGCAGGAAAUGGGUUUCCUCCAGCCAGAGAGGAAGAGCACUUCCCCCAGCACACCUCGGCUCACACCCGUGCGUGUCCUGUUGCCUCAAGCUGUCUACGUUUCAAGGCACCGACAAUGCACAUGACGCACCCUGACCCUCACGGAUGUCGCUAAGAGCCACUUGCCUCCUUAAGCUGCAGAGAGUUUAGGGGACAUCAGAUAAAGGAAGACAACAUCCCAUUACAAGGUGGACUUUGCCUGGAGACCCCCAGUGCCCAUGAAAGGAGCUGUCCAAGGGGCGGCAGGGACAGAAGCUUCCAGGUAGGUGUCUGAAUCCCUUUGGAAACGUUGGCUGAGACAAACUGAACAUGCCCUCGAGAGGUUUCAUACUCGGGUGUGAAACCCUCGUGGACACGUUUAAGGAAAAUGAAAACCUAAUUCUACCUGUGAUUCCCUCGCCAGCCCCUCUCCCCUUUACAAGGAAAUUACUGUGUUCUGAUGGGAUUUUUGUUUUAAUGGUGAGACAAAACUGCAGUCCUCAUUUUCCAGGGACCCCUGUGGACCUUGAAACGAGGUGUCUCAGGGGACGGUAGAGUCCCAAUGGGUUCUUCAUGUUGGAAUUUUCUGCUUACUUCUGCCGACCCAUUUUUAAUUAAAAAUAACUUUUUUUUUGCCUAUUACUUCCUUCUAUGAUUAGAUUUUUAUGUGUUCAACUUAGAAAGAAGCGUAAAUUCAAGAGACACCAAGAGAAUGAAAAUCGCCAUUACUUAAGAGAUAAUCGUUAUUUACAGCGUGGGGUGUAUUUUUACUCUCACUCCUCACUGCAGAGAUAAACACUUGUUCGAUCUACCGAAAAGGAGAAAAUAGUGGUUU